Molecule: ribosomal RNA, 749 nt
Filed under: Terribacillus halophilus
Lineage: Bacteria; Bacillati; Bacillota; Bacilli; Caryophanales; Bacillaceae
Description: bacterial SSU rRNA
Rfam family: Bacterial small subunit ribosomal RNA
Source: RNAcentral
UGCAAGUCGAGCGCAGGAAACCAGAUGACCCCUUCGGGGUGAUUCUGGCGGAAUGAGCGGCGGACGGGUGAGUAACACGUGGGCAACCUGCCUGUAAGACUGGGAUAACUUCGGGAAACCGGAGCUAAUACCGGAUAGUAUUUCCUUUCUCCUGAUUGGAAAUGGAAAGACGGUUUCGGCUGUCACUUACAGAUGGGCCCGCGGUGCAUUAGCUAGUUGGUGGGGUAAUGGCCCACCAAGGCGACGAUGCAUAGCCGACCUGAGAGGGUGAUCGGCCACACUGGGACUGAGACACGGCCCAGACUCCUACGGGAGGCAGCAGUAGGGAAUCUUCCGCAAUGGACGAAAGUCUGACGGAGCAACGCCGCGUGAGCGAUGAAGGCCUUCGGGUCGUAAAGCUCUGUUGUCAGGGAAGAAUAAGUACAAGAGUAACUGCUUGUACCUUGACGGUACCUGACCAGAAAGCCCCGGCUAACUACGUGCCAGCAGCCGCGGUAAUACGUAGGGGGCAAGCGUUGUCCGGAAUUAUUGGGCGUAAAGGGCGCGUAGGCGGUUUCUUAAGUCUGAUGUGAAAGCCCACAGCUUAACUGUGGAGGGUCAUUGGAAACUGGGGAACUUGAGUGCAGAAGAGGAGAGUGGAAUUCCACGUGUAGCGGUGAAAUGCGUAGAUAUGUGGAGGAACACCAGUGGCGAAGGCGACUCUCUGGUCUGUAACUGACGCUGAGGCGCGAAAGCGUGGGGAGCGAACA